This 253-nucleotide ribosomal RNA is filed under the name uncultured bacterium. RNAcentral describes it as "partial 16S ribosomal RNA". It matches the Rfam family "Bacterial small subunit ribosomal RNA", at positions 524 to 776 of the family's 1533-position model. The record is from RNAcentral.
UACGUAGGGCGAAAGCGUUGUCCGGAAUUAUUGGGCGUAAAGAGCUCGUAGGCGGUCUGUCGCGUCCGUUGUGAAAACUCGAGGCUCAACCUCGGGCUUGCAGUGGAUACGGGCAGACUAGAGUGCGGUAGGGGAGACUGGAAUUCCUGGUGUAGCGGUGGAAUGCGCAGAUAUCAGGAAGACCACCUCUGGCGAAGGCAGCUCUCUGGGACGCUCCUGACGCUGAGACGCGACAGCGUGGGGAGCGAACAGG